AAAGCUCAAAAUUUAAAGUGCAUAAAAGUAAAUGACUUGAAAUUAAAUGUUAGUUGUUAGUUGAUUAGGAGUUAGUAUUUCUUUUUCUUUGUUUUUUGUUUAAGUCAUUCUUUAGAGAAUAUUCAACCCACUUAUCACAAGCAUGUAUCCUUGAACCAAGACAUCUUCCAAAGGAAGGAAAAAAGGCCAAGUUUCCACAUAAUACCAUGAAAGAGGGGAG
RNAcentral lists this long non-coding RNA (220 nucleotides) under Lathyrus oleraceus (garden pea). RNAcentral's name for it is "Pisum sativum (pea) long non-coding RNA (PSAT_LNC019169)". The record is from RNAcentral. Lineage: Eukaryota; Viridiplantae; Streptophyta; Magnoliopsida; Fabales; Fabaceae.